GAUGAACGCUGGCGGCGUGCUUAACACAUGCAAGUCGAACGGAAAGGCCCGGCGCUUGUGGGGUGCUCGAGUGGCGAACGGGUGAGUAAAACGCGAGUAACCUGUCCUUGACUUUGGGAUAACUCCAGGAAAAUGGGGCUAUAACAGGAUAUGAGCUCUUGCUCCGUGGUGGGGGUUGGUAAGUGUCGGCGGUUGUGGCUUGUCUCGAGGGUUAUCGGCUUGUUUGUGGGGUAGUGGCUUUCCAAGGUUUUGACGGGUAGCCGGCCUGGGAGCGGGACCGCGCACCAUGCGACUACGGUACGGACCAGUCUGCUACGUGCGGCAGCAGGGGGGAGUCUUGCACAACGGGGGGAAGCCUGAUGCGGCAGCCCCCCGUGCGUGAUGACGUCUUUUGAGUUGUAAACCGCUUUCGCCUGUGCCGAAGCGUUAGUGACGGUAAUGGGUAAAGAAGCACCGGCUAACUACGUG
Molecule: ribosomal RNA, 468 nt
Filed under: uncultured bacterium
Lineage: Bacteria
Description: partial 16S ribosomal RNA
Rfam family: Bacterial small subunit ribosomal RNA
Source: RNAcentral